This is a non-coding RNA of Castor canadensis (American beaver), 258 nucleotides long. NCBI's taxonomy places the organism in Eukaryota, Metazoa, Chordata, Mammalia, Rodentia, Castoridae. The record is from RefSeq and is a predicted model, not a curated record.
GCCCCUCCUGGAGAACUUAAAGGAGGAGAACAGAAGAACUUCACAUAGCCCUAAAGUCUAGCCAUGUCCAAGGAUUUGGUGACAUUUGGAGAUGUGUCUAUAAAUUUCACUCAAGAGGAGUGGGAAUGGCUGAACCCUGCUCAGAGGAAUUUGUACAGGAAGGUGAUGUUGGAGAACUACAGAAGCCUGGUGUCACUGGGAAUUUCUGUUUAUAAGCCAGAUGUGAUCUCAUUAUUGGAACAAGGAAAAGAGCCCUGG